CGGGCAGUAGCUCAGUGGUAGAGCUCCCGCUUCGUGUGUGGGAAGACUUGGAUUCGAUUCCUGGCUGCUUAC
This 72-nucleotide transfer RNA is filed under the name Toxocara canis (dog roundworm). It matches the Rfam family "tRNA". From Rfam's summary of the family: Transfer RNA (tRNA) molecules are approximately 80 nucleotides in length. Their secondary structure includes four short double-helical elements and three loops (D, anti-codon, and T loops). Further hydrogen bonds mediate the characteristic L-shaped molecular structure. tRNAs have two regions of fundamental functional importance: the anti-codon, which is responsible for specific mRNA codon recognition, and the 3' end, to which the tRNAs corresponding amino acid is attached (by aminoacyl-tRNA synthetases). tRNAs cope with the degeneracy of the genetic code in two manners: having more than one tRNA (with a specific anti-codon) for a particular amino acid; and 'wobble' base-pairing, i.e. permitting non-standard base-pairing at the 3rd anti-codon position. The record is from Rfam by way of RNAcentral. Lineage: Eukaryota; Metazoa; Nematoda; Chromadorea; Rhabditida; Toxocaridae.